This 277-nucleotide long non-coding RNA is filed under the name Lathyrus oleraceus (garden pea). Its description in RNAcentral is "Pisum sativum (pea) long non-coding RNA (PSAT_LNC013243)". The record is from RNAcentral. Lineage: Eukaryota; Viridiplantae; Streptophyta; Magnoliopsida; Fabales; Fabaceae.
AGCUUUGAGAAAAGACAAAUUCAUGGUUCAAAUUUUUCGAGGGCACAAGCAAAGUAAUUCUUACCACUAUACUACAACAACACCAUGAUCAUGAAACAAAUUCUAAGCACAAAUCUUAUAUCAAAAAUUCUAAGACAACACACACUCAAUCAUGAAUGACACCUAGCACACAUCUUCAUCAAUAGAUAAAGGAAUUUUUUUAAGGGAAUUGACUCACACCAAACAAUCUUGCUAACAUCUGAUUAACUUAUUCAUUCAUCUAAGCAAAGCAUAUUGA